UUGAAUCAAUGUCCAAUUCCAUAGUUAUAACUUGUAAGCUACAUUGAUAAAGUUAUAAAUAAAACCAAGUGAUGGAGAAUUUACAUGUAAAAAUUUGGAGUACUGCCUAAUGGAUUUUGUCGUGCGUGCCUCGUCAAGCACAAUUCUGAACCACAACCACUUGACCGAAUAGAGAUAAGAAUCCUGGAUCAUUAGGUUAACAUAUGAUAAUCCACCUCUCCUCGGUGUACCAGAAACAACGUUAUUGUCAUGAUAGCAUGCAAGUGGGGUAAAUAGUGAAUAUUCUCUUAGAGAAUAUAUGUAUAGUCGGAUAAGUUUCAGCCCUCUUUCCUUAAUAAACAAUACUCUUUAACUUUCCUUACUAGCGGUCGCAGCAAAUUUUAGUAAAUGCUUGACGCACAAGAAAAGGGGUCGAUCGGAAAUCACGGUGCAGGAAUUUUGGUACGUAAUAGAUUGAAGGUGCACCGGUUAUAUAUAUAUAUAUGGUUUUACAGGGAGAAUUUUUACAGCAUUAGUUUGUUUUGUUAAAACUUGAAAAUAGUGUCAUGGCGGCGGAAGGAAACAACAAUCACCAUCAUCCCUCCGACAUGUCUCAGCAAAAUCCAGCCUAUCAUCAUAAUCCCUCCGACGUGUCUCAGCAAACUCCUGCCUAUCAUAAUCCCUCUGGUCAUGGGUGGUAUAGUUAUUAUCCGUCCAACAUGUUUCAGCAAACUCCUGCGCAUCAUGAUCCCUCUAAUUAUCAUGAUGGGUGGUAUGAUGGUUCUCCCUUUUAUUAUCCCUCCAACAAGCCUCAACCAACCCCCGUCUUUUACCCUCCUACCUUUCAUUAUCCCUUCAACAUGCCUCAGCAAACCCCCGUCUUUUACAACGCGUCCGAUUAUGGUUCCAGCUACGCUCCUGGCUUUCGUUAUCCUUGUAGUUGUAAGAUUUCUUACAACUGCAUUCCACUUAAUCUGGUUGUCUAUCUAUGUAAUCAUCAUGAACAAUUAUUUUAUCCUUGCAGUUGUAAGAUUUCUUACAACUGCAUUCCAGUUAAUCUGGUUGUCUAUCUAUGUAAUCAUCAUGAACAAUUAUUUUAUUGAUUGAAUAUUCAGAUGACUUACAAGAUAGAUGGAAAUCUACAACAACACUUCUUGUAACCUAAACUUACUUUCUCUCUCUUUCAAUCUCUCUUACAAGACUUGUCUUAGAAUAAUCUUAAAAACAACGACUCUCUCCUUUAUAUAGGAUUUUACAUAGUGGAUGACAACUAAAAAACUCAUUAUUUUCGGGAUCACUAUGCGACACAUUCGCUCAUAUACAAUCGCUCAUCUUCGCAUAGCGUACCUCUUCCACAGUUCUUCACACUUUACUCGUGACUUUGCUGACAUCAUCUGGUGUGUCAUCUCAAUUUGUUGUGUGAGAUGCUCCUCGCGUAUGUUGUAUUCUUCUCUUCGCAUAAUUAAUAACUUGUGCGAUAUCUAACUCCUACAUUUGCCUCUUCUCAUUUCGCUUGAUUCUUCAAAAUGAGCGAUAUGAGAAAUUCUCCAUUUUCAAAUCGCACAUGCUUAUCUUUUGCCAUUUUAUUUUGUCGAAAGUUAUCCGGAUUUCAAGCUCCUCUCUACACUUGUCGAUUUUCUUCCUUUUUUACCAGCUUGAACCGUCUUCAACCGGUAACUUCUUUCCACCUAUUUAACACUAGUGGAAAAUGGGGUUUCUAUGACUCACAUCAAAGACCCUCGUUGACCGUAGCCGAUACGUUGACCAAAGGUAGCGGUCUCUGAUUCGGUAAAAACACGGAAAAAAUCUGAAAGCCCAAUAAGCGGUCUCUGAAUUAGAAAUUUUAUUUACGGUUUUGCCAUCAUGGAACUACCGAUUCCACGACCCUCAACCUCCGAUUCAGAUCUGGUGAUCGAUUUUGGGCCCUGCAGUUUCUGUGGUCAUGAUUUGCUUAACUUAAAAGAAUGGUUGGAUGAUAACAAUCCUCUCUCUCUCUCGUUUUUAUCGUCUCCCCACUAAAGAAAAUAUCCUCUCUCUUUCACCGCAUAUCAUCUCCCUAUCACCUCAUUCACCUCUGCUCUCGGUCUCCAUCUCUUACCUAAAGAACCAGCACCAUGGAAAUCCCGUCUCUUGAUUCUUCUUCUGAUCAAUAACCCCAGAUGCCGCUAAUUAAAUCUCAAACCUACUGGAAAUAGUUUUUCAUCAGUGCUCCUUCUCAAUUUAAUUUCAAUUUAUUUUCGAUUGCAUCCAUGUUUUUUUGUUUUCAUUUUAGGGGUUUUGUCGAAAUCUCUAACAACUUCUAAAUAAACUAUGAUUGCCGUUAAAUUUGUUCAUUUUAGGGUUUGAGAAUCUUGAGAUGUUCUUCGAUUUUCAAUCUAUACAGAUAUAGCUUUUCAUGUUUUUGUUAGGGUUUUUAGUUUCUAGUUAUUGAUCUUCAAUCCGAGAAGAUUUAGAUUCUAGGAUUUCAAUCAUUGAAUUAGAUUGGUUUAAAACUCUGGUUCGUUUCUCUGAUUUAACACUCAAUUGAAUCAUUGUGAAGAUAUCAAGGGUUCUGAAUCUUGAAAUUUAUUGAAUCGUUACAUCGUUUCAAUGGUUCGUGAGGUUAUUGCUAUAAUCUAGAGUUCUAUUUGUGUUCUGUUUUUGGUUUUUCAAUUCAGAUUAUAGGGAUUUUGUUUUUGUUUUUUCAAUUUGGGUUUUAGGGUUUUUUCAAAAGCUAUAUCUACUGCAUUGAUUUCGUUAAUAAUGAAUUCAUUUAUAAUUUUUGUUUCCCUCUUUCAAAUUUUCAUAGAUCAUGACUCGGUGUCUCUGAAAUCCGAAGAAAAGGUUGAGGAAAUAUUCUUAUGGAAUGUUAACUGAACAAACCUAAGUAAAAUUAUCUAGUAAUAGCACAAUGUGAUGUUUUUUUAUUUAGAUUUUUUGGUAAUCAAAUCUCAGUGUAAUAAUAUUUAUGGAUAUUAACAGGAGGAGUUUGAGAAAACUUAAUCUCCCUUGAAGCAUCAAACUAGAUAUGUUGCUGCAUUUCUAGAUCUGCAAGGUUUUCUGUUUUCAUCAGGGUGGCUGGUUAUUGAUGUUAUUCGUGGUGGGAUUAUUCUUGGUACGGUGGGGGCAUGAGUACAGCUAAAGUCGCUCUAGAGAGUGACACUGUAAUGUGUAGCUUUCUAGGCAAGAGGGUUAAAGAAGCAUUUGAAGAGGCUCAAUGCGCUUAAGCAUUGGAUGCUUGUCAAGCUUGGUGGUACCUUUGCUCCACUCAGUGUGUCAAGAUACGAGUGAUACAAACACCACUAUUUGUAUCUGGCAUAAACACAUUUCUGUAAGUUUUGUUUGGAACCAGGUUACCGGCAGUCAUUGAUGGUUCUUCUGCUGAUAUUGUACCUAUCCUCUGCAUUAUCGGAGACUCAUCUCUACAACGAAUCAAUGAACCUCAUGAAAGAUUUUUACACAAUAUGAUGAAAACUCAAGGAGUCCUGAUUGUAGCUGCAAGCUUGCAGAUCAUACUAGGAUUUAGUCAAGUAUGGGGAUUUUUUUUGCUGUACACAUUCAAUUCGUAUCUAAAGAAUGUGUUGGGAUAUAAUCUAAUUGUAUCUUACUUACUUAGUUCUUCAUGAUUGAAUCACAGGUUGUUGUUAGAAUUUACUAGGUAUUUUGGACAUGUAUUCUCUGAACUCAGUAUUUCAUCCUUUUUUCUGUAAUUUUACACUCAAUGGAUAAAAUGAAUGAAUGUUAAAAUUCUCAGUUUGAUUAUAAAUUUCAGUUAAAUUUGAAUUUCAGUUAAAUUUAAGGUUGCAUUUGAAUUUCAGUUUGACUUAACUUGACUUUAAUCUGACUUGACUGUAGUUUGACUUCACUUGACUGAAAUUUGACUUGAAUGGCAGUAAGAUUAAUUCAGAUUCAACCAUUCAGGCAUUUCAGCUGAUCUGAAUCUGUAUUUUUUUAUAUUAUAAUUCAAAUCUACGACCAGUUUAAUGGGUCAACACCUAAUGACGAUUAGAAGGGGUCUCUGUUCAGAGACCCAUGGUUUAGGGUCACGCAAUAAAAAAACGCUUUAUCAGCGACCCAUUUAGAGACCGUUAGAAACGGGUCGUUUAACUUUUAUAUAUGACUUGUCCUGACGGUCGUGGAACUUCUGUUUUCCACUAGUGUAAGGGUUUUGUCCAUAAGAUUAUUCUUUCUUCAUCAUUCAUCUUCUCUCUCUUGUUGCUAUCCAUCUUCGUCUGCUACCUCCUAUUUCUAUUGUUGUAUUGAUUUCUUCUGCUACUACUCUGCCAUGAAUUCUGAAUCAAGAAAAAGCUCUUCCGUUAGUGCUGUUCGAAUUAUGCAAAGACCCAACUCUUCUUCAAGUGAAAAUAAAGAAUCGCAAAAGAAAAAACCAAGUAUCGAUAAUGAACCUCAAAACAAGGAAUCUCAGAAGAGGAAGACUUCGCACAAUAAAGAAGCUUCUGAUGCUGAGAUAGUUGAUGGUAAGAAACAGAAAGUUAAAAAGUCUCGCAAACCCGUACCUCUCUCUUCAAAUCUUUAUAUUUUAGAUUUUAGCGCUGUAGAUGUUGUUCUUGUAUCCAUAGCUCUACCUUCGCACGCUAAUCCUCCUAUCACUCCAACAAUAAGUCAAACUCUUGAAAAAGAUGUUUCCAUUACCCAUACAUCUCCCCAUGGUUCUGAGAAGAAUGUUCCUGCUACUCCUUCUCCAACAAAUCCUCCUAUGGAUGAGAAUGCUUAUGUUACAUUCGAAGAACUUUUUAAAGAUUCUCCUGCGGGUAAAGAGUUUUCUCUUAGCCAAACCCUGAAAAGUACUCCUCAUGUUGCCUCUGCGAAUCCAUCGCAUGCAAGUCAAAUUUUUCCUUUACCCAUUAGUUCUAGUUCUCAUCCGAACCUCCCUCAAAAUAAAUCUACCAUCCCAACAGUUUCUACUACUCCUCCUUCUCUUUCCUUACUGGAUUCUUUUCCUUUGAAUAGAAAGGCUUUGGAUAGUGUAAAACUGACUACUCAAACUCUGCCGAUGUUAUCAACUCUUCCCAAUCUUUGACCGAUGAUCCUUCCAAACUUCGCUCCUGUUCUUCCUUGAGUCAGCUUCUUCGUGAAUUUCCUGUUGACAAAGCUUCACGAGAUGAGGUCCUUUCUCAAAUUGACCCGGGUUUCCACGUCGAUCUAGAUGUUUUGGAAUAUCAUCGUCGUAUGAUGCUGGGUGAAAAGCAUUUUGAAUCUAGCUGUUCUCAAUUGGAACUUUCGCAGAAAAAUAUUUCUUUGGAAAAGGAAAUACAAAGAUUGAGAGGGGAACUUCAAAUUUAAAAUUUUGAGGCUGAAAAUCUUCGCAGCGAAAAUCAAAAACUUAGAGAUUUAAACCAGAAGUGAACGAAUGAGAGAUAUGAAUUUCAAUUCCUUGUUGAAGAUACCCAAGCGAAUAACGCAAAGUUGCAGUCUCAGCUAAAUCAAUUAAACAAUCAGUAUUCAUAUGCACAUGAUCAGAUUAACCAUCUUUCCCAUGAGAAUGACCAUCUUACUCAAAAAAUUGAUUUUCUUAGCGAUCAAAUAUCUUAUUUUUCUAAGUUGUCACGCGACGCUGACUUACUUCAUCAAACGUUAUCAGAAGAGAACCAUACCCUUUCUAAGGAAAAACUAUCUUUCUCAAAGAAAGAAGCAAUGUUUUCACAGCAGUAUUCAAUACUUCAUGAAAUAAAUGAAAAUCAAACGCGAAUUCUUCGCAUACUGAAGGAGAAGUAUGAGACUUCGCUUAAAGAUUUGAGCUCCCGAAAUGAGAAAUUAAUUCAGAAUAAUAUAAAUCUUUCUGUGAAGAAGAAUCAAUUUCAAGAACAACACAGUCAACUGAAGAAUUCUUAUGACGUUCUUAAGAAAAAGAACAAAUCACUUUCUUCUGAAGAAAAGAAAAUUCGCUCUAGUCUCAGUGGUUCAGUUGGUGAUGGAUUUGAUAAGGCUAUGGAAAGUACAAAGGACAAUACCCUUGCUUUUUCCAAAUUCUUCCAAGAUUCUGAAAAAUCGCACCAGUCUGCUGUUGCUCAACUGAGUUCUGAAUUAUCCAAAGUUCGCAAAGAAUAUGCUAAUCUGUUAUUGACGGGAUUCUUUUAAGAAAUUCUCUUCCAGCAGUAAAACUCCCCAUAUGCAAUGUGGGUGCAGAUGAAGAAUAUCCUGAACCAGAUAGCGAUUUUGACUUUUUAAGCGACGAUGAAAAAGAUCAGGUGAUGAAGAAAUUCAGCAAGAAGAAGAGAAAUCCACUAAUGAUGCCGGUACCGGAAUUGAGAAUCCCGAGUCCAGUGCUAAAGUCUGAUGUUACUGUUUGAUCAUUCUUGAUUUCCUUUCUUUAUUUUGAUGUUUUUUGAUCCUUCGCAUUUUUAGUCUUGUUUGUUGCAAGGAAGAUAAUAUAUUGUUGUUUUAAUUCC
This is an RNA transcript of Papaver somniferum (opium poppy), 6368 nucleotides long. It is a transcript of the gene named enoyl-CoA delta isomerase 2, peroxisomal-like, with no coding region annotated. The transcript is spliced from 11 exons. The record is from RefSeq and is a predicted model, not a curated record. NCBI's taxonomy places the organism in Eukaryota, Viridiplantae, Streptophyta, Magnoliopsida, Ranunculales, Papaveraceae.